Molecule: ribosomal RNA, 429 nt
Filed under: Acidobacteriota bacterium
Lineage: Bacteria; Pseudomonadati; Acidobacteriota
Description: Acidobacteria bacterium partial 16S ribosomal RNA
Rfam family: Bacterial small subunit ribosomal RNA
Source: RNAcentral
UGGGGAAUUUUGGACAAUGGGGGAAACCCUGAUCCAGCCAUCCCGCGUGUGCGAUGAAGGCCUUCGGGUUGUAAAGCACUUUUGGCAGGAAAGAAACGUCAUGGGUUAAUACCCCGUGAAACUGACGGUACCUGCAGAAUACGCACCGGCUAACUACGUGCCAGCAGCCGCGGUAAUACGUAGGGUGCAAGCGUUAAUCGGAAUUACUGGGCGUAAAGCGUGCGCAGGCGGUUCGGAAAGAAAGAUGUGAAAUCCCAGAGCUCAACUUUGGAACUGCAUUUUUAACUACCGGGCUAGAGUGUGUCAGAGGGAGGUGGAAUUCCGCGUGUAGCAGUGAAAUGCGUAGAUAUGCGGAGGAACACCGAUGGCGAAGGCAGCCUCCUGGGAUAACACUGACGCUCAUGCACGAAAGCGUGGGGAGCAAACAGG